AAAUAAGUAAGCUAAUUAAAGCUUUUAGGUUCAUACCCUAACAAUAGAAAUCAAAUCUCUUAUUUA
RNAcentral lists this transfer RNA (66 nucleotides) under Acropyga fuhrmanni. Its description in RNAcentral is "tRNA-Met". Lineage: Eukaryota; Metazoa; Arthropoda; Insecta; Hymenoptera; Formicidae. The record is from RNAcentral.